Cygnus olor (mute swan) is the source of this 111-nucleotide long non-coding RNA. RefSeq lists it as uncharacterized. The record is from RefSeq and is a predicted model, not a curated record. Lineage: Eukaryota; Metazoa; Chordata; Aves; Anseriformes; Anatidae. The transcript has 3 exons.
AGCUGCCCUGCAGCAUAGAAUCAUAGAAUCAUUAAGGUUGGAUAAGACCUCCAAGAUCAUCUGGUCCAACCAUCACCCUACUACUAAUGUCACCCACUAAACCAUGUCCCU